This 64-nucleotide transfer RNA is filed under the name Microtus pennsylvanicus (meadow vole). Its description in RNAcentral is "tRNA-Lys". The record is from RNAcentral. Lineage: Eukaryota; Metazoa; Chordata; Mammalia; Rodentia; Cricetidae.
CAUUACGAAGCUUAGAGCGUUAACCUUUUAAGUUAAAGUUAGAGAUAGUUAGUCUCCGUAGUGA